AGAGUUUGAUCAUGGCUCAGAUUGAACGCUGGCGGCAUGCUUUACACAUGCAAGUCGAACGGUAACAGGCCGCAAGGUGCUGACGAGUGGCGAACGGGUGAGUAAUGCAUCGGAACGUGCCCAGUCGUGGGGGAUAACGCAGCGAAAGCUGCGCUAAUACCGCAUACGAUCUAUGGAUGAAAGCGGGGGACCGUAAGGCCUCGCGCGAUUGGAGCGGCCGAUGUCAGAUUAGGUAGUUGGUGGGGUAAAGGCUCACCAAGCCGACGAUCUGUAGCUGGUCUGAGAGGACGACCAGCCACACUGGGACUGAGACACGGCCCAGACUCCUACGGGAGGCAGCAGUGGGGAAUUUUGGACAAUGGGCGCAAGCCUGAUCCAGCAAUGCCGCGUGCAGGAAGAAGGCCUUCGGGUUGUAAACUGCUUUUGUACGGAACGAAAAGGCCCUGGUUAAUACCUGGGGCUCAUGACGGUACCGUAAGAAUAAGCACCGGCUAACUACGUGCCAGCAGCCGCGGUAAUACGUAGGGUGCAAGCGUUAAUCGGAAUUACUGGGCGUAAAGCGUGCGCAGGCGGUUUUGUAAGACAGGCGUGAAAUCCCCGGGCUCAACCUGGGAAUUGCGCUUGUGACUGCAAGGCUGGAGUGCGGCAGAGGGGGAUGGAAUUCCGCGUGUAGCAGUGAAAUGCGUAGAUAUGCGGAGGAACACCGAUGGCGAAGGCAAUCCC
This 723-nucleotide ribosomal RNA is filed under the name uncultured bacterium. RNAcentral's name for it is "bacterial SSU rRNA". It matches the Rfam family "Bacterial small subunit ribosomal RNA", at positions 8 to 728 of the family's 1533-position model. The record is from RNAcentral.